This 55-nucleotide transfer RNA is filed under the name Haemonchus placei. RNAcentral's name for it is "tRNA-Gly". The record is from RNAcentral. Lineage: Eukaryota; Metazoa; Nematoda; Chromadorea; Rhabditida; Trichostrongylidae.
AAUUUUUUAGUAUAAUAAGUAUGUUUAAUUUCCAAUUAAAAGGUUUAAAAAAUUA